This 253-nucleotide ribosomal RNA is filed under the name uncultured bacterium. Its description in RNAcentral is "partial 16S ribosomal RNA". It matches the Rfam family "Bacterial small subunit ribosomal RNA", at positions 524 to 776 of the family's 1533-position model. The record is from RNAcentral.
UACGGAGGGUGCAAGCGUUAUCCGGAUUUAUUGGGUUUAAAGGGUCCGUAGGCGGAUGUGUAAGUCAGUGGUGAAAUCUCGCAGCUUAACUGCGAAACUGCCAUUGAUACUGCAUGUCUUGAGUAAAUUUGAAGUGGCUGGAAUAAGUAGUGUAGCGGUGAAAUGCAUAGAUAUUACUUAGAACACCAAUUGCGAAGGCAGGUCACUAAGAUUUAACUGACGCUGAUGGACGAAAGCGUGGGGAGCGAACAGG